AGCGCAAACUACUUAGGCGAAGUUGAAACUGGUCUUCCCAACGUGGAAAUAAAAACAGUCUAAGCAUGUUAUGAUUUGUUUCUGAAGCACGUUUCUUGGGAGAGCAAUCAACAAUAUACUAAAUCAUUUUCUGUAGAACAGGGAUUGGGUUUUGUUUAUUACUUUCCAAUGUUAUAGAAGGGCUGCAGUGUGUUUCAUGCAUUUCACUUCACAAUUAUUUCAGACAAUGAGGGAUUGGAGUCUUCACCAUCAGUUGAAAUAGUAUUGAUUGGCCCAGGAUUUUGUGGUUCCAUCAGAUUUCAAAAUACUAAUACCUCAAUGAUGAUGUUUGACAUCAUCAGUAAUGGCCUCAAUACUGAUUAAUAAUUUAGGAAAAAUGUAAAUAAAUUACAGGAGGUAAUUCCUUUGGGUUACCAAAAGUGCGCCCUUUAUUGACAGGAUAGAGGUUCUUAGGUAAGCUAUCUAAUUGGGCAAAGACUUGGUUUUGAAUCACUAUGUGAGUUGUAACAGGUAAAUCCGCCUUUUGGUUUGGUCCAUACAUGUUGAAUUUUACAUUUCAAUAUCAGUGGGGGAAAAUGUUGCUAUAGAGAAAACUUUCUUCUGUGAUAGGUAUAUGGAAGAUUUAACAACUUUUCAGCAACUGACUGAUGGUCUAAAGGUUUAUAAAUAUUGCAUGUUCGGCAAUCUGAUUGAUUGUGAUAAAGGAUCUCUGAGGCUUAUGAUCAACUUCACAAUUGAAGACUAUUAACUUGUUGUAAA
This 759-nucleotide unclassified non-coding RNA is filed under the name Hevea brasiliensis (rubber tree). The record is from RNAcentral. Lineage: Eukaryota; Viridiplantae; Streptophyta; Magnoliopsida; Malpighiales; Euphorbiaceae.